GUUAAUAGAAGUCUAAACCACUUCACAGUCGAAAAUAGAAAUCUGAUCUCUAAAAAACAGAAACAAGAUAUGAUUCAACUAACGUGCCUGUUGUGUUUAGUAGUAUCAGCUAUCAUAUUCUACUACCAGUACAAAUAUUUAGCACCACAGUUACCGUACUUCACGUGGAAUAGUUGAAGCCUUAUCUUUUACUCUAAUUUUAUACUUGGCGAAAUUUUAUUUUCCUCUCAUUGCACCGCUCGUUUCUCCCUUCCUGCAUUAAUUUUCGCAUUCCUUCAAAUUUUUUACGUAAAAAUUAAUUAUCAAGUAUCGGCGGUUGGAGGGGAUGCAGUUAUUUGCAUAACACGAGGCUGUUAAUUGCACUGCUCUCUUUCUUUCUUAACACUGUAAAAAGAACAUGAUAUUGUCAUUGGAUUGAAGUUCACCAAAACAUAAAACAACUGAUAAACCGACCCUAUAACAAAAUGGAUAACCUCGACAUGCAUAUUUAUCUUCAAUAUCCAAAUUUAAUUAAAAAUAUCCAAGAAGGAGUUCCAAAAAAUUUGACAGGCCGAGUAAUGACCGAGGUGGGAUUGCGCAGAGUUGAUGGUCGGGUAUUCCUCCCUUUAAUCAUUUUCAACGGACAUCACGAAGAAACUCAGAAAUAUUACAAAGUAAAAAUCUAUGAUGCAGCAAAGAUGGUGGAAUUGCUGUACGCCCAUCCAUUACACAACCUGAUAUACAUAUGAAAUGCGAUCCCGAAGAGAGAGAAUACCUUCACCGACUGGUUUGGUAUCUAUGAUGACGAUAAAUUCGACGAAUUUGAAUGGAGUGUGUACAGUGGAUUACAAAUAAGUUUUCAUGAACUUAUUGAAUUUCCGCAAAAAAUUACAAUAGAGUCUGAAUAAGCAUAUUUUAAGAAUAUAUUAUUUUAUCUGAUAACGGAGUAAAUAUAAAAAUCAAUUUCCAAAUCCUAAAA
Molecule: long non-coding RNA, 958 nt
Organism: Diachasma alloeum
Lineage: Eukaryota; Metazoa; Arthropoda; Insecta; Hymenoptera; Braconidae
Exons: 3
Source: RefSeq, a predicted model, not a curated record